RNAcentral lists this ribosomal RNA (733 nucleotides) under Variovorax guangxiensis. RNAcentral's name for it is "bacterial SSU rRNA". It matches the Rfam family "Bacterial small subunit ribosomal RNA", at positions 56 to 785 of the family's 1533-position model. The record is from RNAcentral. Lineage: Bacteria; Pseudomonadati; Pseudomonadota; Betaproteobacteria; Burkholderiales; Comamonadaceae.
UGCAAGUCGAACGGCAGCGCGGGAGCAAUCCUGGCGGCGAGUGGCGAACGGGUGAGUAAUACAUCGGAACGUGCCCAAUCGUGGGGAUAACGCAGCGAAAGCUGUGCUAAUACCGCAUACGAUCUACGGAUGAAAGCAGGGGACCGCAAGGCCUUGCGCGAAUGGAGCGGCCGAUGGCAGAUUAGGUAGUUGGUGGGGUAAAGGCUCACCAAGCCUUCGAUCUGUAGCUGGUCUGAGAGGACGACCAGCCACACUGGGACUGAGACACGGCCCAGACUCCUACGGGAGGCAGCAGUGGGGAAUUUUGGACAAUGGGCGCAAGCCUGAUCCAGCCAUGCCGCGUGCAGGAUGAAGGCCUUCGGGUUGUAAACUGCUUUUGUACGGAACGAAACGGCUCUUUCUAAUAAAGAGGGCUAAUGACGGUACCGUAAGAAUAAGCACCGGCUAACUACGUGCCAGCAGCCGCGGUAAUACGUAGGGUGCAAGCGUUAAUCGGAAUUACUGGGCGUAAAGCGUGCGCAGGCGGUAAUGUAAGACAGUUGUGAAAUCCCCGGGCUCAACCUGGGAACUGCAUCUGUGACUGCAUUGCUGGAGUACGGCAGAGGGGGAUGGAAUUCCGCGUGUAGCAGUGAAAUGCGUAGAUAUGCGGAGGAACACCGAUGGCGAAGGCAAUCCCCUGGGCCUGUACUGACGCUCAUGCACGAAAGCGUGGGGAGCAAACAGGAUUAGAUAC